RNAcentral lists this ribosomal RNA (463 nucleotides) under Vreelandella stevensii. Its description in RNAcentral is "partial 16S ribosomal RNA". It matches the Rfam family "Bacterial small subunit ribosomal RNA", at positions 340 to 795 of the family's 1533-position model. The record is from RNAcentral. Lineage: Bacteria; Pseudomonadati; Pseudomonadota; Gammaproteobacteria; Oceanospirillales; Halomonadaceae.
UACGGGAGGCUGCAGUGGGGAAUAUUGGACAAUGGGCGAAAGCCUGAUCCAGCCAUGCCGCGUGUGUGAAGAAGGCCUUCGGGUUGUAAAGCACUUUCAGUGGGGAAGAAAGCCUUGGGGCUAAUACCCUCGAGGAAGGACAUCACCCACAGAAGAAGCACCGGCUAACUCCGUGCCAGCAGCCGCGGUAAUACGGAGGGUGCGAGCGUUAAUCGGAAUUACUGGGCGUAAAGCGCGCGUAGGCGGUCUGAUAAGCCGGUUGUGAAAGCCCCGGGCUCAACCUGGGAACGGCAUCCGGAACUGUCAGGCUAGAGUGCAGGAGAGGAAGGUAGAAUUCCCGGUGUAGCGGUGAAAUGCGUAGAGAUCGGGAGGAAUACCAGUGGCGAAGGCGGCCUUCUGGACUGACACUGACGCUGAGGUGCGAAAGCGUGGGUAGCAAACAGGAUUAGAUACCCGAGUAGUC